This is a long non-coding RNA of Sapajus apella (tufted capuchin), 2054 nucleotides long. RefSeq lists it as uncharacterized. The record is from RefSeq and is a predicted model, not a curated record. The transcript is spliced from 2 exons. NCBI's taxonomy places the organism in Eukaryota, Metazoa, Chordata, Mammalia, Primates, Cebidae.
AUUCUCAUUCUUGAGCAUAAUGAGGAAACACUCUUUAAGGCAGAUGAGAAAGAGAGUGUUCAAGUAGUGGUUCUGAGUUGUGAAAAAAAAUAAUAAGAGGGUGGGAAAUAUUUUAGCUAUCUUGGAACACAUAAAAUUGUGAAAAUAUGUUGAGAAAGUUCUAUACAGCAAUUUCCAACUGCUGUAUAAUAGGUGUUCCAGAAAAAAUAGACUAGAAAGAAUAUAAAAUACAAUAAAAAAGACUUUUUUUUUUUUCCUGAGGGAAAGGAAGACUUUAGUCUCUGGCUAGAUAAGAUUCAUACAAUUUAAAGGAAACAAGUGGAAUUAUGAAAAUAUACAAAUAGUUAUGUAGCUGUAGGGAUGAACAGUUUUACUACAAAAUCAGAAAAUAAAAUAGUAAUAAAAAUGAUCUAAUGGCUUCCAAGAGGGAAAUAAAGUUUACACAUAAAAGGGCAAGAACCAGACCAGAAUCAGAUUUCUUAUCUGAAAUAUCAGAAGCCAGAAAACAAUGGGAAGGGAAAAAAGGCUGCCAAUGUUAACACAUGGGGAAGCAGGGUGUUGGCAGGAAAGGCAGUGUAAGGGAGGAGAGAUUUGUACUGGGAGGAAGAGACAAUGGAGAGAAGACAGCCUGAGCAGAAGCUGUGAGAGUAGACAGACACCAGGGAGAGGGACUGCUAACGAUGGUGUUAUUUUAACACUAGCCUUGUGUGGCAUGUUUUAAAAUUUUCAUUCUCACACCUUCCAAGACCUUCAUCGCAUUGUAAAAAUUUUUGAAUUUCUAUUUUGUUUAUGUUUUGGUGUAGAACUGUGUGUGCUAAAGGACACAGAUUCUACUACUGGAAGAAGUUCAAGGUUCUUAUUUUAGGACAUUGUUAACGUAGGGAUGUUAACUGGGUCAUGCUCACCAGUAGGUGGGGACAUUGCACUUUAGGAAUGCAAGGGAGUUAUUGCUUUCUCUCCUCUCCUUGCCUUGGCAGGUCUGGACUUGAGAGGCCAGUAUUCCCUGAGGGGGGUAACUCAGGCACUCUUAUUUCCUGAACUCAUCCUUCCAUGUGUUCAGGAUGUGAUGCAAUCUGAAGUGCAGUUUUGGAUGUUUGAGAAGCAGAGAAGCACCACUGGAGCAGGAGUUAAAGUCUGCUUUUGUUUGAGAACUGAGGAGCUCAGUAUUCUACAUACUCUCGCAGUUUUCCAUGGCUGUGGGACAAUGAACUUCAUGCAUUACCCCAGACAGUGACAUCGAUUCAGCAGGACUGCCACCAAGACUCCAGAACUGUAGAGCUACCAACAUCCAAAGAGAGCUUGGAAAAGACAAGAUGCCUGACUCUAAUCCAGGAGAACAGCCACUUGUGGACUGCAACCAGCAAAGCCAUGGGGCAGGGCUGCCUGAGGACUUGAGGGCCCAACUCCUGCCACAGUGUGCUCAGGAUGAGGGACACAGGCUCGGAAGAGAUUAUUUCCAGCUUUAAAACGGAAUGUCUUUCCUGUUGGGUUUUGGACUUCCGUGAGGCCUGUUACUCCUUUCUUCUGGCCUAAUUCUCCUGUCUCAGCAUUGUAUCUUAGUGGUAGAUGACUGGUUUUAAUUUCACAGGCUCACAGAUAGGACUUAUUUUGGAUUUCUGAGCUGAUACCAGAACAAGUUAAGACCUCAGGGAUCUGGGGAUGGAAUGAACGUAUUUGCAUGUAAGAAAGAUACAAGUUUUGUUGGGGAGGGCAGGGGUGAAAUGCUAUGGCUUAAAUAUUUGUUCCCUCUAAAACUCAUGCUGAAAUUCAAUCCCCACUGUAACAGUAUUAACAGAGUGGAAAAUCAGACUAUGAUAUUUCAGGGGUGGAACCUUUUGCAAGGCAAUCAUAUGUAAGGAUCUAUUAAAGCAACUCCCCUUCAUUUUUAUCAAUAGCUAUUCUGUAUAUUUAUUACUCUUGAAAAAAAUUAGAAAUAUUUUGUUAACAAAACUAUCUUAGUGAUACUCAGAUUAAAGCAUCAUAAAGUCUGUGUAUUUUGUUUGGAAAAUGGACACAAAUUGUCCUGUUCAAGAAUGCAGUACUUUUAUUUAUCA